AUUGAACGCUGGCGGCAUGCUUUACACAUGCAAGUCGAACGGCAGCACGGGGGCAGUCCUGGUGGCGAGUGGCGAACGGGUGAGUAAUACAUCGGAACGUGCCCGGUCGUGGGGGAUAACGUAGCGAAAGUUACGCUAAUACCGCAUACGAUCUGAGGAUGAAAGCGGGGGACCUUCGGGCCUCGCGCGAUCGGAGCGGCCGAUGUCAGAUUAGGUAGUUGGUGGGGUAAAGGCCUACCAAGACGACGAUCUGUAGCUGGUCUGAGAGGACGACCAGCCACACUGGGACUGAGACACGGCCCAGACUCCUACGGGAGGCAGCAGUGGGGAAUUUUGGACAAUGGGCGCAAGCCUGAUCCAGCCAUUCCGCGUGCAGGACGAAGGCCUUCGGGUUGUAAACUGCUUUUGUACGGAACGAAAAGGCUCUGGCUAAUACCUGGGGCUCAUGACGGUACCGUAAGAAUAAGCACCGGCUAACUACGUG
RNAcentral lists this ribosomal RNA (484 nucleotides) under uncultured bacterium. RNAcentral's name for it is "partial 16S ribosomal RNA". It matches the Rfam family "Bacterial small subunit ribosomal RNA", at positions 30 to 507 of the family's 1533-position model. The record is from RNAcentral.